AGGGAAUCUUCCACAAUGGGUGCAAACCUGAUGGAGCAAUGCCGCGUGAGUGAAGAAGGUCUUCGGAUCGUAAAGCUCUGUUGUUAGAGAAGAACACGUGCUAGGUAACUACUAGCGCCUUGACGGUAUCUAACCAGAAAGUCACGGCUAACUACGUGCCAGCAGCCGCGGUAAUACGUAGGUGACAAGCGUUGUCCGGAUUUAUUGGGCGUAAAGGGAGCGCAGGCGGUCUGUUUAGUCUAAUGUGAAAGCCCACGGCUUAACCGUGGAACGGCAUUGGAAACUGACAGACUUGAAUGUAGAAGAGGAAAAUGGAAUUCCAAGUGUAGCGGUGGAAUGCGUAGAUAUUUGGAGGAACACCAGUGGCGAAGGCGAUUUUCUGGUCUAACAUUGACGCUGAGGCUCGAAAGCGUGGGGAGCGAACAGGAUUAGAUACCCUGGUAGUCCACGCCGUAAACGAUGAGUGCUAAGUGUUGGGGGCUUUCCGGCCCUCGGUGCUGGAGCUAACGUAUUAAGCACUCCGCCUGGGGAUUACGACCGCAAGGUUGAAACUCAAAAGAAUUGACGGGGACCCGCACAAGCGGUGGAGCAUGUGGUUUAAUUCGAAGCAACGCGAAGAACCUUACCAGCUCUUGACAUCUUCUGACAACUCUAGAGAUAGAGCGUUCCCUUCGGGGACAGAAUGACAGGUGGUGCAUGGUUGUCGUCAGCUCGUGUCGUGAGAUGUUGGGUUAAGUC
RNAcentral lists this ribosomal RNA (738 nucleotides) under uncultured bacterium. RNAcentral describes it as "bacterial SSU rRNA". It matches the Rfam family "Bacterial small subunit ribosomal RNA", at positions 356 to 1086 of the family's 1533-position model. The record is from RNAcentral.